GAAAAGGCUUUCUGUCUGGCUCUAUAUCUAUCACACAAUGUAUCCCAACUCUGGCUGAUUCAUAUUUCAUGGAUCCUGAAGGCACAAGUCUGGUAGGACUCAGAUAAAUCACCUAUUUUAAUGCACACGGUAUUGAAACGCACACACACACACACACACACAAACACACACACACACACACACACACACACACGUACACACACUCCCAGACAGUGACAUCAGAGAAGGGUGCAUUAGAAAACAAACGUUUCUCUGAGGUGAGGACAGUGUGUGUGGUUCUGAGGUGAGGACAGUGUGUGUGGUUCUGAGGUGAGGACAGUGUGUGUGGUUCUGAGGUGAGGACGGUGUGGUUCUGAGGUGAGGACGGUGUGUGUGUGGUUCUGAGGUGAGGACGGUGUGUGUGGUUCUGAGGUGAGGACGGUGUGUGUGUGGUUCUGAGGAGAGGAUGGCGUGUGUGUGGUUCUGAGGCGAGGACUGUGU
This 480-nucleotide long non-coding RNA is filed under the name Salmo salar (Atlantic salmon). RNAcentral's name for it is "lncRNA (ENSSSAG00000092347.1, ENSSSAG00000114986.1)". Lineage: Eukaryota; Metazoa; Chordata; Actinopteri; Salmoniformes; Salmonidae. The record is from RNAcentral.